Molecule: long non-coding RNA, 1017 nt
Filed under: Betta splendens (Siamese fighting fish)
Lineage: Eukaryota; Metazoa; Chordata; Actinopteri; Anabantiformes; Osphronemidae
Description: lncRNA (ENSBSLG00000021157.1)
Source: RNAcentral
AUGAGAACGGAGAAACCCACAUUCAAGGCUGACGGCGACAACAUCCACAAACGGCAACUGCUAUCACAACUUGAGAUUGACGAGAUACAACACAAAUGCUACGGCAAGGGGGAGCCAGGACGCCAGGUCAGAGGGGAGUUUUCACCAUCUCCCCAACCGGAAAUUGGGUACGAAGCCCCAAUAAGCACAGAUACGCUGAGCGAGGCAGCAACUGACCUGAAAGAUAAGAUCAUGGCGAGAUUGAACAGGCAACCCCGAACCCCACUACAACGGCUAAGCGAAGUACCAUCAGAAAGUCUCAUGGAAGAUGUGAAUGCAGCAUUGAGAGCGAUCCCUACCACAACAAUCACAGAAACCAAUGAGCUGAUAUACACUUCAGCAUCAGUGAUCCUAGAGGAGCUUGGCUAUAAGAGCAACCAUGGGAGCCAUGAGAAACAAUACCCACCAUGGAAACGAAGGUUGGAGGCAAAAAUCAAGGCAGCUCGGAGGGAAGUGAGCCAAAUGACAGAGGCCGAGAGAGGUGCAAUGAAAAGACCAAUGCCCAGGAGGUACAGCCAGAUGCCCAUACCUGAAGCACUCGAAACUGCCAAGCAAAGGCUACAAGCCUUGGCCAGCCGCCUAAAGAGAUGCACCAGAGAUAACGAAGCCAGACGAAUAAACCGGCUGUUCGCAACACAACCUGCGAAAGUGUACUCUCAAUGGCAGGGUAAUAACAACAGAGCAGACCCACCAAGGCUGGAAACUGAACAGUACUGGAAGGGUAUAUGGGAAAGGGAGGCAUCACACAACAGUGAUGCACAGUGGCUGGUGGAUCUGAGGGAAGAUCACAGCAACCUCCCUGAACAGAACCCAGUGACUAUGACAGUGGCAGACAUCCAACAAAGAGUCUCAGGUAUGAAAAACUGGACAGCACCUGGCCCUGACAUGAUCCACGCCUACUGGCUAAAGAAGCUCACUGCAAUCCAUGAACCAGAUCAAAAAAAAAAAUGCAGAUUUGAAAAGAACUGCAUUAUUUGA